RNAcentral lists this long non-coding RNA (3652 nucleotides) under Panax ginseng (ginseng). RNAcentral's name for it is "long non-coding RNA (PGIN_LNC005481)". Lineage: Eukaryota; Viridiplantae; Streptophyta; Magnoliopsida; Apiales; Araliaceae. The record is from RNAcentral.
CAGAACAAUAUACAAAUACUUAUAUAAAACUGUCCACAAAAAUUGUGCAGCAGAACAAAGUUGUGCAGCAUCAUUCGCAACUAGUGCAUCACCAACAAAAAGGACCAGAUCUGGAGCUAAACCAUAGAGAAACUGCAUAGCUACUGACAGUGACAAAUAGCUCCAAAAUACUACACUGAAAUGAACAAGAAAAACAGUAAAAUUGGAUCCUGAGUAUUGCACCUGGGUUUGAUAAAAAAUUUGCAAUGAAGAUAAAAUGAGCAAAAAAGAACAAGAAGAAUCUGCAAUUAAGAUAAAAAAAAGAAAAAAAGCAAAAUGUAAAAUUAAAUCAUAAAUGAGUAUUGCACUUGGGUUUGAAUCACUAUCAUCAUUAUCUACACUUGGAUCCUGAGUAGCAUCAUCAUUUGAUGCUCCAGUUCUACAUUGAAACAAAUAGCAAAGUAAAAUUUAAACCAAUACCAAAGUCAAUUUUAAACAUAUAGCAAAGUCAAAAUAAGUAAACUUGCUUACAGAUUAUUAAGUUUCGGACAGUUUCUUUUAUCGUGUGUCACACCAACUUUGUUACACGCAUGACAACGUCUACUCUUGGCACUUUUUGCUUUCCCCAAAACCCUUUCUUUGCCACCCUUCAGCCUUUUGCCACACCCUUUUGCUCGCACGUGGUUCGGCUCAAUGUAACUAUGUUCAUUAGUAGAAGCCCUGUUAACUGACUUGGAUACACUAAUUCCACCCAUUUCCAUGUCCUUGUUUCUUUCGGAAUCAUUCUUCCCAAUAAUUUGCCUUAUCUGUUCAUAUCCAUUAUCUAACCAUUCUUUAAAUACAUUUAUGGCAUCUUCAUUUGUGAGAGCACUAUCAAUCAAAUCUAAAGAACGUUGAAUCAAUUGACUCCGCAAGAGUAAGUAUGACUUGUCAUCCUUUAUCGCCACACCAUUAUCAUCAAUUACACCACUUGCUUUUGAUGUCUUUGUCCACCUCUUCAAAAUAUAUUUUGUAGGCAAAUUAUCAUGAUCAUGAUACUUAUUCAAGUAAGCUAGUACAUGCCGACAUAGUAUUCCCAAACUCUCAAACUUUUUGCAAGUGCAUGUUGCAUAAUCCCAAGAUUUGUCAUAAUGAAUUUCUCUUACAUUACACUUGUUGACAUUCCUUCGGCAAAUCUUAUAUACAUUGUAGUUGACAUCCUCCUUCAUAAGUUCAAACUUAUAAUUGAAGCUCUCACACAACUCAUUUUCAAAUUUAUAAUACAUAAGAGUAUGUAUAAAUGUCAACCAUUUGACUUUAGAAGUGAUUGGAAAUUUUCAUUUUUGGUUUCUCAAUUAAAUCUUUGUUAUCUGAUUCCAACUCUGCAUGUCGUUGAUGUUGAAUGCCCCGGCCAAAUUGAAUCAUAAACUCCACUAAUGAAUUUCCUUUAGAAACAAAUCUUUUGAAAAAUGCAUGACAACUCUCCGCUCGUUGGCUACUUGACAUGCCAGCUGAGAAAACAUGAUUCACAUGUGCAGGUACCCAUCUACAACGGAUGACAUACAUUGAUUGAAGCCAUUUAUUAGUAGUCAACCCAUUUUUCUCCACGAGCUCCACCCAAGUGGAGUCAAACUUUUCCACAGACUCGGAAUUCCAAAUGCAAUCUGAAAACUCUUUAUAAUAAGUACUAUAUUUUACUGAAUCAAUCUUCUCUGAAAAUUUGGUCAAAAUGUGCCAACUACAAUACCUAUGAAAUGUCUUAGGAAGCAUCUGUGAAAUGGCAUUUGUCAUAGCCGGAUCCUGAUCAGUGAUAAUCAUCUUAGGUGCAUCACCUGGCAUUGCUUCCAAAAUACACUUGAAAAGCCAAACAAAGGUGUCUAUGGUCUCAUCACUUAAGAAAUCACAACCAAAUACAAUAGUUUGACCGUGGUUAUUAACCCCCAUCAGUGGUGCAAAUAUCAUUCCGUAACGAUUAGUGUUGUACGUGGAAUCAAAAAUGACAUCAUCGCCGUAAAAUUUAUAAGCCCGUCUAAAAGUUGCAUCGGCCCAAAAACAACGAGUAACCCUUUUUUCAUCGUCUGUGUCAAUUGUAAAAGUGAAUGACGGAUUCUUUUGUUGUUCUAACUUGAAGUAAUCAUUCAACAUAUCGUCAUCUUGUCCCUUCAACUCAUUACGACUGUAUCUUUCAAAGUUAUACAAAUCUUGUUGCGUGCAACCAAUAUUUUCAAUCCCUCCCGCCUGCAAUGCAAGAAAGUUGUAUUGUUGGCAUUGUGGUAUAUUCACCAUGCCAAGUUGUUGAGCCAAACAUUUUUGGGUGGCUGACACAUUACGGUGCGAACGUAAUAGAUGCCUCUUAUGUGGGGUUGACAAUGGCCCUCCUCAGCUAUGGUAACUACAUACAACUCAUUUCUUUUAACCACUACAAUUCUUGCACUACAACCUUCUUUGAUAGAUCCACGUUUUCUUUUUGCAUCCACAUCGGCUAAUAGUUUGCCUUUUCCUUGCUUAUAACACACAUACUGCUUCCUACAAAUCUCACCGCUUCCCUCUUUUCUUUUCUCAGUAUGCUUUCGCACACUAAAACCAGCAUGCAUUGCAUAUGUAUUGUAAAAAGUGUGAACGUCGUCUAAUGUUUGAAAUGCUUGACCUAGCUUAGGCGUAAACUCAUCGGCUACUUGAGGAUAGUAGAGUCUAGUUUUACCAUUGUUCACAUCCAACCCAUCUUCACUCAAGUCAUCCCUCUCCAUGACCAUUUCAAUUUCAAAAUUGUUAAUGCAGUCUAAAUUCAGUUCUGCAUUAUCCCCACAACUAUCUAUUUCAUGGUUCAUGCCUUCCAUUAGUAAAAAUCCUGCCCAAAAAAAAUUAAAUAGAAUGACAGUAAACAAUAAUCAGAAUAGAUUAUCAAAUAUUGUACAAUAAUAACUACUCACAUUUAUAUAGAAAUUUAGUUCAGCUUAAAAUUUUAAAAAAUAACUAUUCUGCACAAUUCUGCAGUCACUACACAAUUUUGCAGUUUGGUGUGAAGUGGCACAUAAAUCACUUUUAUAUUGGUGUUGUGGUUGUGAUUUUUGAACUUAACUUUCAGACAUUCUUAUAAAUAUAACUAUCACCAAAUACAAGGAACGUAUUGAAAAAAAAAAUGUUAAAACAAGAUAUCUGACAACAAUGAAACAGAUGGUAAAAGGAACGUAUUUGGGGCGCGAGGCUUUGGGGCCAUUUCAGAAUAAAUCGAACUAUGUAAUACAGUUAGGAUCGAUAAUUGUUAGAGAGAUAGAAGACAAACCUGGAAAUUAGGGCUUUGAGAUUUGGGGCGAGAAGCGAGAGAAUCUGACCCAGGAGAGAUUCUGAAGUUCGUGAGAAGUGAGAUCAGGAGAGCUUGAGAGGAGAGCUUGAGUGGCGAGAGCAGAGAGCGAGAGAAGUGAGAUCGAGAGAGUUUGGGAGUCUGAAUGGUGAGGAGAGAGAAAAAAUAGACUUUUUAUAGGUGAGCUUGGAUGAGCCUUUUGGGGAUGAGCCUAAGAUCCUUAUUAUAUAUAUAUAUAUAUAUAGAGUCCGGAUCCAGUCCGGGAUCCCGAACGCUAUAAAAUACGGACCAUUUUUUUAUUUUAUUUUUUUGCUUUUAUUUUUUUGAAACUAAAAAAAAAAUAAAAUUAUGGAACUGGAAUUUUUACAUAAUACAGUAUUUUGGGUGUGAUUG